RNAcentral lists this long non-coding RNA (545 nucleotides) under Salvia miltiorrhiza (redroot sage). RNAcentral's name for it is "long non-coding RNA (SMIL_LNC000686)". Lineage: Eukaryota; Viridiplantae; Streptophyta; Magnoliopsida; Lamiales; Lamiaceae. The record is from RNAcentral.
UUUUGAAGUGUUCAUAAAGAUAAAGUUGGAGGUCGACUUGUUUAAAGUACAGCAAGGUCACUGACUAAAAUGGCGGCAGCCAUGAAUUCCCUCUACUUGUUGCGGUGCACUCCCUUUUCCACUCUGUUUAUCUUCUUCUUUCUUCUUUUUCCCAAUUUCUUUUCGCUUUGUUCGUUUCUCAGUGAGUGUGUGUGUGUAAUUUUUCUGGUAUUCAAUUUGAUUGGUAGGCGACGUUGUUGUUAAAAACAGUGGCCCAAUAUGUAUUCGAGCAUUCAACUUUAUCAAAUCCAUUAAUCAAACUGCCCAGAUCCAGCAUAAUGCAUUUAUUCGUCGCCCUCUUCAGUUCCGCAGGUAUUUAUUUGUACUUCCUGCUCUAAAUGUUGUGCCUUUGAUUUUAUUUCUUUCGUGAAUGCCUCGCUCUGUCAGUGUACUGCAUUUUCCAAUGUUUGCCUGUCAUCGAAAUACAAUUUUUGCCUGUCAGGUUUCAAUGUUUUCCCCUUUCUCUAAUUCGCCCUAGAGAUUAGGAAAAUUCAUAAAUUUUGAAC